RNAcentral lists this ribosomal RNA (468 nucleotides) under uncultured bacterium. RNAcentral describes it as "partial 16S ribosomal RNA". It matches the Rfam family "Bacterial small subunit ribosomal RNA", at positions 28 to 507 of the family's 1533-position model. The record is from RNAcentral.
GACGAACGCUGGCGGCGUGCUUAACACAUGCAAGUCGAACGGCAAGGCCCUGCUAUCGUGGGGUGCCCGAGUGGCGAACGGGUGCGUAACACGUGAGUAACCUGCCCUUGAUUUUGGGAUAACUUCAGGAAACUGGGGCUAAUACCGGAUAGGAGAUCAUGCUGCAUGGAGGGGGUUGGAAAGUCUCGGCGGUUGGGGAUGGAUUCGCGGCUUAUCAGCUUGUUGGUGGGGGAGUGGAUUACCAAGGCUUUGACGGGUCGCCGGCCUGGGAGGGUGGCCGGCGACAAUGGUACUGCGGGACGGCCCAGAGUCCUACGGUAGGCAAUAGGGGGGAAUAUGGCACAGUGAGAGGGAGCCGGAGGCGAAAACGCCGGGUUCGUGAAGACGUCCUUCGGGGUGUGAACCGCUGUCGCCUAUGACGAAGCGUGAGUGACGGUAAUGGGUAAAGAAGCACCGGCUAACUACGUG